UACGAAGGGGGCUAGCGUUGCUCGGAAUCACUGGGCGUAAAGCGCACGUAGGCGGACUCUUAAGUCAGGGGUGAAAUCCUGGAGCUCAACUCCAGAACUGCCUUUGAUACUGGGAGCCUUGAGUUCGGGAGAGGUGAGUGGAACUGCGAGUGUAGAGGUGAAAUUCGUAGAUAUUCGCAAGAACACCAGUGGCGAAGGCGGCUCACUGGCCCGAUACUGACGCUCAUGUACGAAAGCGUGGGGAGCAAACAGG
This 253-nucleotide ribosomal RNA is filed under the name uncultured bacterium. RNAcentral describes it as "partial 16S ribosomal RNA". It matches the Rfam family "Bacterial small subunit ribosomal RNA", at positions 524 to 776 of the family's 1533-position model. The record is from RNAcentral.